GGGGGGGGGAGGGAGCUGGCGGGAGGCCUGGGGGCGUAGCGGGCGCCCCGUAAAAGUGGGGUCGCGGACACCGCAGACUCGCGCCAAACAGUUGCGAGCCGAGCCUUGGCAGCUGCUGAUUGGACGGCGUGGGUGUCAAUCGGCGUGGUGCCUAGGUUGGCGACUGUACGGCGGACCCUUGAGUGACGCGACGCGGAACUGCAACUCCCAUGGUUCUCUGCGCUAUGAGAAUUUGAGGUGGGGGGAUAAACAUAUAACAAGAUUCAGGACCAUGGAGUAAGGAAGAUGACUUCUAAGAAGCUGCAUCAUGUUCUCGAACAGAACUACCGAGAUUUAACAAAAUGGUGUUGUAAAGAGGCCUGUGCCCAGGAAGUCCCAGGUUACCUGAAAGACAGCAUCUACAGGAAAUGAACGGAUCUAUGUCAAU
This is a long non-coding RNA of Pelodiscus sinensis (Chinese soft-shelled turtle), 427 nucleotides long. RefSeq lists it as uncharacterized. The record is from RefSeq and is a predicted model, not a curated record. Lineage: Eukaryota; Metazoa; Chordata; Testudines; Trionychidae.